Long non-coding RNA from Oncorhynchus tshawytscha (Chinook salmon), 310 nucleotides. The record is from Ensembl. NCBI's taxonomy places the organism in Eukaryota, Metazoa, Chordata, Actinopteri, Salmoniformes, Salmonidae.
AUGAGGCUCGUCCCCCAGUCCUCUGGAGGGUUAUGUGUCUGUUAUGAGGCUCGUCCCCCAGUCCUCUGGAGGGUUAUGUGUCUGUUAUGAGGCUCGUCCCCAGUCCUCUGGAGGGUUAUGUGUCUGUUAUGAGGCUCGUCCCCCAGUCCUCUGGUGGGUUAUGUGUCUGUUAUGAGGCUCGUCCCCCAGUCCUCUGGAGGGUUAUGUGUCUGUUAUGAAGCUCGUCCCCCAGUCCUCUGGAGGGUUAUGUGUCUGUUAUGAGGCUCGUCCCCCAGUCCUCUGGAGGGUUAUGUGUCUGUUAUGAGGCUCG